RNAcentral lists this ribosomal RNA (377 nucleotides) under uncultured Verrucomicrobiota bacterium. Its description in RNAcentral is "bacterial SSU rRNA". It matches the Rfam family "Bacterial small subunit ribosomal RNA", at positions 521 to 896 of the family's 1533-position model. Lineage: Bacteria; Pseudomonadati; Verrucomicrobiota. The record is from RNAcentral.
UAAUACGGAGGCCCCAAGCGUUGUUCGGAUUUACUGGGCGUAAAGCGUGCGUAGGCGGCGAGGUAAGUUUGGCGUGAAAGCCCCGGGCCCAACCCGGGAAAUGCGCUGAAAACUACUUCACUAGAGGUGUGGAGGGGAGUCUGGAAUUCCUGGUGUAGCAGUGAAAUGCGUAGAUAUCAGGAGGAACAUCAGUGGCGAAGGCGAGACUCUGGAAACAUUCUGACGCUGAGGUACGAAGGCUAGGGGAGCGAAGAGGAUUAGAUACCCUCGUAGUCCUAGCAGUAAACGGUGUGCACUUGCUGUGGGGGGAUUCGACCCCUUCCGUGGCGAAGCUAACGCAUUAAGUGCACCGCCUGGGGAGUACGGCCGCAAGGUUA